AGCGAACGCUGGCGGCAGGCCUAACACAUGCAAGUCGAACGAACUCUUCGGAGUUAGUGGCGGACGGGUGAGUAACACGUGGGAACGUGCCUUUUGGUUCGGAAUAACUCAGGGAAACUUGUGCUAAUACCGAAUGUGCCCUUCGGGGGAAAGAUUUAUCGCCAUUAGAGCGGCCCGCGUCUGAUUAGCUAGUUGGUGAGGUAACGGCUCACCAAGGCGACGAUCAGUAGUUGGUCUGAGAGGAUGACCAGCCACACUGGGACUGAGACACGGCCCAGACUCCUACGGGAGGCAGCAGUGGGGAAUCUUGCGCAAUGGGCGAAAGCCUGACGCAGCCAUGCCGCGUGAAUGAUGAAGGUCUUAGGAUUGUAAAAUUCUUUCACCGGGGACGAUAAUGACGGUACCCGGAGAAGAAGCCCCGGCUAACUUUGUG
Molecule: ribosomal RNA, 433 nt
Filed under: uncultured bacterium
Lineage: Bacteria
Description: partial 16S ribosomal RNA
Rfam family: Bacterial small subunit ribosomal RNA
Source: RNAcentral